AUUCACCGUUUGCUCCGGAAGGGAAACUACGCAGAG
Drosophila melanogaster (fruit fly) is the source of this 36-nucleotide non-coding RNA. The record is from Ensembl. Lineage: Eukaryota; Metazoa; Arthropoda; Insecta; Diptera; Drosophilidae.